AUCACGAUGGCCGAGUGGUUAAGGCGUUGGACUUAAGUUCCAAUGGACAAGUGUCCGCGUGGGUUCGAACCCCACUCGUGCUA
Molecule: transfer RNA, 83 nt
Filed under: Octopus vulgaris (common octopus)
Lineage: Eukaryota; Metazoa; Mollusca; Cephalopoda; Octopoda; Octopodidae
Also listed under: 1 other name
Rfam family: tRNA
About the family: Transfer RNA (tRNA) molecules are approximately 80 nucleotides in length. Their secondary structure includes four short double-helical elements and three loops (D, anti-codon, and T loops). Further hydrogen bonds mediate the characteristic L-shaped molecular structure. tRNAs have two regions of fundamental functional importance: the anti-codon, which is responsible for specific mRNA codon recognition, and the 3' end, to which the tRNAs corresponding amino acid is attached (by aminoacyl-tRNA synthetases). tRNAs cope with the degeneracy of the genetic code in two manners: having more than one tRNA (with a specific anti-codon) for a particular amino acid; and 'wobble' base-pairing, i.e. permitting non-standard base-pairing at the 3rd anti-codon position.
Source: Rfam by way of RNAcentral